AGCACUGGGAGGGUUGGUGUUGCUGCUCAGCACGGGGGCUCAGAAGCCCUCCCCACGCCCCCAUUAUCCUCAGCUUCCCCAGGCUCCAUCCAGCAGGAGGGAGCAGACGGUGGGCCCUGCCUCCUGGCCUUGAGACCAGAAGACGGCCCAGGGUUUGAAGCAGGUGAAAGUCUGAGCUACUUCUGCAAGUGCAGCCUUUGUUCCAAGGAAGCAGGGCUGCCCCGCACCCCGGUGUGCAGGGGGGCAGCUGGCUUUUCCCGUCUGCAGAGCUCCGUCUCCCCAGGAGGGGCGUCCUGUCUCGGGCCAGCAUGACCGCCGUCUCCCUGCUGCUGAAGGGGAGGGCCCCCUUUCUGUGGGCCUUGGCCUCUGUCUGUCAAAUGACGACGAGUUCUGUGGAUAGAACAAGGUUAGAAACGCCACCUGACAGAGCGGCCUGCAAUGCCCAUCACUGUCCUGGAGCCAGACAGGUGGAGGAGAGACCUCAGGGCUGGGCCGGGUCAGCUGACUCCAGAGUGGACACCAGGCAAUGCCCAGGGAGGGGACUCCUGGAAGAAGCCGGCCUCUUGACUUAGGGUUAAAUGUCCUCUGGUUUGAAGACACAAGAGUCUGCAUUUGCCCAAUACUUGGGGUUCUCAGCUUUUCUCCAACCUGGUCAUCACAGAGUGACCAGCAUUGGCCUGGCAAUGGUGCCUUCACAUGGGAGCGAAAAGGACCAGCCUGAGGUGAGGAGGAUGGGUCCUGUGUCCCCACUCUCCCCUGAGCCCGGGGCGUUGCAGUGGCCUUGACCUUCAGCCCUGGGCUUCUUCCUACCCGAGUCCCCGGCAGUGUCCCUCAGCCCAGCCCGGCCCGUUCAGCCUUUGUCUGGGGCCAGUCACUGAGGGUGGCUUCCCCGGGACGUCCCGGGCUCCCUUGAAGGAGCUGCUCUCAGCGCGAUUCUGCGGACGGAUGGCGGCAUCUGUGCUGAGCCCUCCACUGUCUUGGGCUCUUCUAAUAUCACACUGAGCACUGGGCGUUGUUCGUCCCACUCUACGGAUGAGAAAGUCGGGGCUCAUGUAGGUGGAGGAAACUGCCUGAGCACCAGAACCCGGGGAGGCGCCGAGGCUGGACCGAGCCCACCCUGGCUGUGCCUGUGCCGAGCUGAGCCUGCUGUGGCUGUGUUGCUGCACAUUUACCAGGCAGGGACUCAGUUUCCCCUGGGGUACAACUGAGGGCUGGGCUGGGGGAUCACAAAGAGGGAGGCAGCACGAGGUGCUUGUGGGGGCUCUGGGCUGCACGUUCCAGCAGGAGCAGGGGCGACGGCCCACGUCUCUGAACAGGCUCUUUUAGUGGUGCUGGGCGGGACCCGGGUGUGCCCCUCCCGUGGGCCAGAGCGACUCUAGGGCCCAGGCCUGGACUCUUGGGCUGCAGGUGAGAGCCAGGCGGCGGGGCAGGGAGUCAGAGGCAGAGGCAGGGGCGAGGCAGCUCCUCCCGGCUGCACCCCGAGACACUGGAGGAAGCUGUCUCUGAGCUCUUCCUCCUGCUGUCCAGACCAGGCGCUGAAAUCAAAGACAGAACUGAUACUGACCACAAAACCUCUCAGAGCCACUUCAUUGGAGAAGAUUAGGGUCAGGCAGCUGCGGGCAGCUCACAGCCGGCACGGGGCUUCCCUCUGGGAGGCUGGGAUUUGAUCUCCCUGUGCAGGAUUUUCCAUAGGAAGAGUCAGUCCCGUGCGCCUCCUUUAAGCCUUAACCAAAGCGGGGUUCCUCCAUCAGGCCUGCGGGGGCCCAAGGCCCCCAGCUGUUGCCCGUGUGCACACCUGGAACCACGUCUAAGUCCUUGCCGUCCAGAGGCCUUUUCUCACCACCCACGCUCAUCCUCAGCCCUUCCUGCCUUCAGCCAUGCCCGAGGCUCUGCCCUGGGUAAUAGGUCUGCCCUGGGUGGAGGCGCUGCCCUAGGUGGUGGGUCUGCACUGGGUGGCGGGUCUGGAGUGGCCAAGGCAGGUGCGGCCCUCCUGGGCCCUUCAGUCGGCUGGGGCGAGAGUUAACCAACAGUCUCCAUGGCGGGGAACAGGAGGGACCUGUCCCGUGAGAGGGGAGUCAGGGAGGACUCUUGGGAAGAUGGCCUUUCAUUCAAGGCCUGAAUGAGAAUCAGCCAGAUGUGCUGGGGCCAGGCAGGUGGGGACGAGUGCGCGGGGGGGGGCUCAGCAUCUUCUAGAACCAACCACACACCUGCAAGAGAGAAGACAGGGUAGACCCCUGCGGCCCCCUGGGGCUGAGACGGCUUUAGGAUGGUACUCCAGUUGCCCCCAUCCUUUCCCGAGACCCUCCUGGACCUGAGCUCCGGGAUGCAGGAGCGCCCCGGUGUUCCGUCCUUGUCCUCACGGGACUCAGAGCCUCCCUCCACGAGAUGCUGCUGGGCUCACCUGUCCUGGUGGUUUUCCUGAGCCAGGAAUAGAGUCUUCACCUGACCUAACCUGAGGCCAUGCCCAGGCCACUCUGAAGUGAGAUCCGACGGCCUGGGGAGGUUCAGGGGCUCAUAGGUGGCUGCGCCCAACCCUGCCACACUUCUCCUGGACCUAUCAGAGGUGCAUGCUGUGGUCAGUGCCUGGAGACAGAGCAGCUCCAGGCCACCCACCCUUCCGGUCUGAAGCGUCUCACCCCACACAAGGCCCCAGCACCACAAGCCCAUUCUCCCCGUUCCUUGGAGCAGACCCUGGUGGCAGCAUCUACAGGGGGGUCCCAGGCAGCCUCACCGCAGGCACCACGGAGGCACGGAAGAGCUGCCUUGCGCCAGCACAGGGCACGCAGGGACGUCUGGGUGCCCCGGCUGGCAGCCACUCUCCCCGCAGGCAGGGUCUAGUGUAUCCGUGUGCGAUGUCUGUGAUUGGGCUUUGUGCUGGGAGCGUAAUGAGGAGCCUCCCCGGCCUCCCCAGACCCCGUCGCUGAUGGGGGAAGGACACGUGGCCAUCAUAACACAUACAUCACCAAACGUGGGCUUCCAGCGCGGAGGAAGCAAAUUAAACGCUGCAAACGAGCGUCAGGGUAAUUAUCCCCACCAGGGCUGGGACAGGGUCCAGGCCUCCCUGAGAACGGGGCAGACGCAUGUUGAGCGCUUAAGAGACGGGGAACUGGGGCAAAGGUGCUGGUGCCACAACAGCCCAGACACAGAGGAGGGUCGAGGCCGCCCCACACCCCCAUCUGCUGCGAGGAAGAGAACGAUUUGGAGAGGAGCUGAAAGUCAAGUGAGUGCAGCCCAUGAGGGGAAGCUCGUUGGUUUAAUUCCAGAUGGUUAGGAGGCUCAGAGACACCAUCGGAGCCGUGAAUAUUCAUGAGCCGGCAGCCUUGCCCAGGUAGCCGAGGCCUGGCUGGUGGCUGCGUUGGCUCCGCUCAUUUUUGAAACGACACAGCACUUCUGGAUUGGAGACGUGAUGAGCUAUUUGUAGACAUGUCCUUGUUGAUAAGGAAACGGCACUGGUUGACAGAACUCUCCACCCUCCGGCGCGGCUGGGCUCUUCUCCCGGGGGUGGGGCGGGGGCAUUGGGGGCCCGGGUUUGGGGAAUGGGGCAUCAAGAAGCUGUGAGGGUAGAGAAGGGCCCUGGGCUGGGUCAGGCUGAAAUGGGUCCGUCUCCCCAGCCCUUGGCUCUGUCAUCAUGGGAGUAACAGAAUAAUAAUGUCACCCCAU
Molecule: long non-coding RNA, 3660 nt
Filed under: Homo sapiens (human)
Lineage: Eukaryota; Metazoa; Chordata; Mammalia; Primates; Hominidae
Description: non-protein coding lnc-CHRNA4-4:2
Source: RNAcentral